This 446-nucleotide ribosomal RNA is filed under the name Gemella morbillorum. RNAcentral's name for it is "bacterial SSU rRNA". It matches the Rfam family "Bacterial small subunit ribosomal RNA", at positions 28 to 461 of the family's 1533-position model. Lineage: Bacteria; Bacillati; Bacillota; Bacilli; Caryophanales; Gemellaceae. The record is from RNAcentral.
GACGAACGCUGGCGGCGUGCCUAAUACAUGCAAGUCGAGCGAAGUUUUUCUGGUGCUUGCACUAGAAAAACUUAGCGGCGAACGGGUGAGUAACACGUAAAGAACCUGCCUCAUAGACUGGGACAACUAUUGGAAACGAUAGCUAAUACCGGAUAACAGCAUUAACUGCAUGGUUGAUGUUUAAAAGUUGGUUAUGCUAACACUAUGAGAUGGCUUUGCGGUGCAUUAGCUAGUUGGUGGGGUAAAGGCCUACCAAGGCGACGAUGCAUAGCCGACCUGAGAGGGUGAUCGGCCACACUGGGACUGAGACACGGCCCAGACUCCUACGGGAGGCAGCAGUAGGGAAUCUUCCGCAAUGGGCGAAAGCCUGACGGAGCAACGCCGCGUGAGUGAAGAAGGAUUUCGGUUCGUAAAGCUCUGUUGUUAGGGAAGAAUGGAUAUGUAGU